Molecule: ribosomal RNA, 472 nt
Filed under: uncultured bacterium
Lineage: Bacteria
Description: bacterial SSU rRNA
Rfam family: Bacterial small subunit ribosomal RNA
Source: RNAcentral
UGGGGAAUAUUGGACAAUGGGCGAAAGCCUGAUCCAGCCAUGCCGCGUGUGUGAAGAAGGUCUUCGGAUUGUAAAGCACUUUAAGUUGGGAGGAAGGGCAGUAACCUAAUACGUUUCUGUCUUGACGUUACCGACAGAAUAAGCACCGGCUAACUCUGUGCCAGCAGCCGCGGUAAUACAGAGGGUGCAAGCGUUAAUCGGAAUUACUGGGCGUAAAGCGCGCGUAGGUGGUUUGUUAAGUUGGAUGUGAAAUCCCCGGGCUCAACCUGGGAACUGCAUUCAAAACUGACAAGCUAGAGUAUGGUAGAGGGUGGUGGAAUUUCCUGUGUAGCGGUGAAAUGCGUAGAUAUAGGAAGGAACACCAGUGGCGAAGGCGACCACCUGGACUGAUACUGACACUGAGGUGCGAAAGCGUGGGGAGCAAACAGGAUUAGAUACCCAUGUAGUCCCUGAGCGGGCUGGCAAGGCGCAU